Molecule: long non-coding RNA, 2434 nt
Organism: Oncorhynchus gorbuscha (pink salmon)
Lineage: Eukaryota; Metazoa; Chordata; Actinopteri; Salmoniformes; Salmonidae
Exons: 2
Source: RefSeq, a predicted model, not a curated record
GGGGUUUGCCCUGCUGGAAGACCCACAGCCUUCAGUGGAGACACAUUUUUUGGACACUGGGUUGAACACUGGACUCAAACGCCUGAUAAUCUGCUAAUUUCAAGCAACCCCACAGCAUUACCAAACCUCCCCCAUCUUUGAUUAUAGGGAGGGUGUUAUUUCAUUGAAAUAACAAAUCAUUUGUCAGUAAACCCAGAUCUGUAUUGCCAAAGAGUUCCGAUUUUGAUUCAUUGGUCCACAGAACCUUUUCCCCAGGAUUUAGGCUUGUUUAGGUGGGUUUUUGAGAAGUCCAAACAGGCUUUUUUUUUGUCUCCAGCAGUAGGGUCUUCCUAUGUUUACUAACAACCAAAUUAGGCAUUCAAAGGAAAUAACACCCUCCCUACAAUCAACCAUGGGGAGGUUUGAUAAUGCUGUAGGGUUGCUUUGCUGCCUCUGGCAGUGCAAGACAUCAGGAAAUCUGCAGAUUAUCAAGGUGCUUUGGAGUGCAAUGUUCAACCAGGUGUCUUUGUCAAAGGUUGUGGAUCUUCCAGUAGGACAACAACCACAAACACGCAUAAAAAGCACCCUGGACUGUUCUAAUAGUCAGUGAAGGGUCCAGAUCUGAAUCACAUCUGUGACGAUCCAUCUAUGGCGAGACAGGACACUUCUCAAACAUUGAAGAAUAAGAGCAGUUUGUUGCUGAAGAGUGGGCCAAAUUGCCAGGAGAAAAGGUACAUAAAGCUUAUUGAUGGCUACAGGAAGCAUUUGUUGGAAUUUCUUGACUGAGUACCUGCUCCUGGGUGACAAUCAUUUUGUUCAUGUCAUUUGUCUUUAUUUUCUAAAUUAAAAUUAAACUUAAGUUUGCAAAAAUAAAACUGGUUCUGCAAUGUGGAAAAUCCAAUAACAAUGUGUGGAGAUCAAUUUUUUUUUUUACUAUUUCAACUUAUUUUUAGAAGGGUGUCAAUAUAUUUGGCAACAACUGGAGGUCUCGAUUUACCCCCCCCCCCCAGCUAUUUUACUAUUUUAUCUUCUGUUUUCAAAUGUUUCCAACAUUUAUGGGGCACCUGAUAAUUGGACAAGUUGCUCUGUGGAUGAUGAUGAUGUGGUUGAUUAUUGUUUAUUUUUGCUCUGAAGUCAGAGUUGGAUUACUCGAAUGGGAACCAUGGCCAUAAUAGAUUGAAGGUGUGUGGGUCUAUCCUCCUUUUUGUUCAUACUGUUGAUUUGUGUUCUGUCAGAAUCUUUAGUUUUUCUGGCCAGCCAGUUUUAUUUUGUUUCUUUUUACCCAAAUGAGUGUGUAACAGGGAGAGCUAGAAGACUAGAUGUUGUACACACUGGUUUCCUGUCAUUUUUGAAUGGUUUUGGCCUGACAACGUUCAGCAGCUUGUGACACUGACGGAACAAUACAGCCACUGAUGCAGGCUCUUCUCCCCAGGGAACAUCUUGUCGAAAUCUCUUGCUCUUUGUUUAUUUCUAGUUUCUCAUUUUUUCCCACUAUCUGUGUCACGUCUCUGAAUGUUGGUUAAGAUAAGAUCUGCACUCUUGAGUCUUUAAAUCAAAUAACUUAUGAGGUUUGAAAUGUUAAAGUGUGGUGAAGGAUGCCAAUGCGGAUGCAGUUCCAUUUAAUUUGUUGGUGAAGGUGGCCCAAGGAUUGGUUCUGAUGCAGUUCUGUUUAAUUUGUUGGUGAAGGUGGCCCAAGGAUUGGUUCUGAUGCAGUUCUGUUUAAUUUGUUGGUGAAGGUGGCCCAAGGAUUGGUUCUGAUGCAGUUCUGUUUAAUUUGUUGGUGAAGGUGGCCCAAGGAUUGGUUCUGAUGCAGUUCUGUUUAAUUUGUUGGUGAAGGUGGCCCAAGGAUUGGUUCUGAUGCAGUUCUGUUUAAUUUGUUGGUGAAGGUGGCCCAAGGAUUGGUUCUGAUGCAGUUCUGUUUAAUUUGUUGGUGAAGGUGGCCCAAGGAUUGGUUCUGAUGCAGUUCUGUUUAAUUUGUUGGUGAAGGUGGCCCAAGGAUUGGUUCUGAUGCAGUUCUGUUUAAUUUGUUGGUGAAGGUGGCCCAAGGAUUGGUUCUGAUGCAGUUCUGUUUAAUUUGUUGGUGAAGGUGGCCCAAGGAUUGGUUCUGAUGCAGUUCUGUUUAAUUUGUUGGUGAAGGUGGCCCAAGGAUUGGUUAUAAUAAUAAUAAUAAUAAUUUGUUGGUGAAGGUGGCCCAAGGAUUGGUUCUGAUGCAGUUCCGUUUAAUUUGUUGGUGAAGGUGGCCCAAGGAUUGGUUCUGAUGCCGUUCUGUUUAAUUUGUUGGGGAAGGUGCCUCGAAGCUUGGUUUUCACAGAUUUUCCGUGCACCAGACAGGUUCCUCAGAUUUCCACUAAUGAUGUGUUUCUCUUUGUAAUGUGACCCUUGCGCAGACUCCUAUUUAGUUUCAGAUAUUUCUCUGUCUCUAUAUGAAAUAAAAUACGAUUGUAUGAAAUGUGAA